This 147-nucleotide ribosomal RNA is filed under the name Listeria monocytogenes. RNAcentral describes it as "partial 16S ribosomal RNA". It matches the Rfam family "Bacterial small subunit ribosomal RNA", at positions 1 to 142 of the family's 1533-position model. Lineage: Bacteria; Bacillati; Bacillota; Bacilli; Caryophanales; Listeriaceae. The record is from RNAcentral.
UUUAAAGAGAGUUUGAUCCUGGCUCAGGACGAACGCUGGCGGCGUGCCUAAUACAUGCAAGUCGAACGAACGGAGGAAGAGCUUGCUCUUCCAAAGUUAGUGGCGGACGGGUGAGUAACACGUGGGCAACCUGCCUGUAAGUUGGGG